RNAcentral lists this long non-coding RNA (17399 nucleotides) under Triticum aestivum (bread wheat). Its description in RNAcentral is "long non-coding RNA (TAES_LNC002888)". The record is from RNAcentral. Lineage: Eukaryota; Viridiplantae; Streptophyta; Magnoliopsida; Poales; Poaceae.
AUGCUUGCUCAGCCAUGGCUACUCAUAUCUUGUCACUAACGUGGUGAUUAGUGAUGCAGGGCUUCGCUGGGAAGUCUGCCAGCGACAGAGGCGUGCUUCAUAGAUGUCUAUGUGACAAAAGAAUAACGGAACUUGUUCCUGUACAGAUACAGAUAUUGCCCCCAGAUGAAUAGUACAAGUUUACUGGUUGUUGUUCCAUAUCAUUUGUCUGGUCUUCCAUAACAUCUCAAUGAUUAGAGUAUGUAUCCAUUCUUUGCAUAUUAAUGGCAUCUUCACUUAUUAGGCGCUCUGGAGGGUACAGAUCAGAUUCCAUUUGCCCCCCAUAACAUUGCUUUCCUGCUUGUGUUAUCCAUGGAACUGUAAAUUACUGUUGUUUAUACAAUGUUUCUGAAUCUCCUUGGGUAUUGUAUUCCAUUUCUUCUUCUUUUGAGUGUUGAUUUGUCACUGAAUGUAGUCUUAUGAGAAACAAAGUGCUCGAGUUGUCCCACACAGGUUUGAGGCAAGUUGACGUUGAGAACAUAAGGGAAUGCACGACCAAACUGAAUUAACAUGAUUAUGUUCUGCUACCUAUGUCUAUUCUUUCUACUAUAUAGUAUUUCAACUGUGAAAUGUGCACCGCUCUCAUCCAUGAGAGACGAGUUUAAGGUUUUGGUCGUAUCAGUGAAAUUUGGUUGAGUUGUCGUUGUUGAUUCUUUGUUUGGUCUACUGUGAUUUUGUGAUUUUGGCUGAUGGGAACUGUUGGCAUUUACUCCCUCCAUUCCCAAAUACUCCCUCUGUUCGGAAUUAUAGAACUAAUUCCGAACGGAGGGAGUAUUUGUCUUUCUAGAGAUUUCAACAAGUGACUAUAUACGGAGCAAAAUGAGUGAAUCUACUCUCUAAAAUAUGUCUAUAUGUAUCCGUAUGUGGUAGUUCAUUUGAAAUCUCUAGAAAGACAAAUAUUUAGGAACGGAGAGAGUAUAAUGCAAAGCAGGGUAGUUUAGAGUAAGCUAAAUACACAUUGUGUAGACUCCAAAAACUGACCAGUCUUAAAAAUAAACGUGCAAACAUAUGGACAACUUUGGACACAAUUAUUAAGUGUCAUCCUUAUAUGUUGGGCGCUAUAGGAAAGGCGUCCGUGGUUGCUGGUUGCUCGACGAUGUCUUUCUUUCCACUUAUUUUGUGGGGGCCGUUUUGUGAGGAUGAGUCGCAUGUGCCUGACAGGUUAUAGGGGUAGUGUGUUGGGUCUUGUGUCCUCAUGAUAUGGGAGUAGUCUGCUUGCAUCAUGGGAUUGUGGCUUGGUUGUCUUUCCUGACCAAGUUCGUAACGGUGUUCCGUGAAUUAAUCGGGUAAAUUUCUUCUUCUUAAUUAAUGGAUGAGGCAAAAAUUUUGUCUUCGUUUCGAAAAAGAAUGUCCAAGUGCAUAACUGAAUGUUCACUAAAGCAUUGUCUUCAUUUUUGUGUGGGUUUGACUCCACGCCAUGGUUGAUCAUGUUCCAGAUACAUGUCCCUCUUACUAGGUCCUCGUAUUCAUGAAACUUGAGCAGUGUAAUUGUAGGGGUAGUGGAGCUAAUUGUAGUAGCAGUAGGGAUGUCCUCAUCAGUAUAAUUUUUUAUCUAUUUUAAAUGCUUAAUCUUGAUACCUGAAAACCAUAUAUGCAGACUUAUCUCAGAGUAUCUUUUGUAACGUCACAAUUCCAUUGUGUUCGAUAAAUAUUAUGUUUGAGUACAAAUUUGUAAUCAGAUUACAUUCUGCAUGCCUCAUUGAUUUUCACAGUGAUAAGCAGUGAUAAGCUUUAAAAAGAAUCGCAGAGGUUUACCAAGUAGAGCAUACUUACUUCAUACUAAAAUACACAAUGUUUUAGACAUGAAAACAAUAUAUCUUCAAAUUCAACUUUGACCAAUUUCUAUAUGAAUAUUGUUACUAAAAGCCUAAAUAAUUAUCAAAUGAAAAAUCAUGUUGAAUAUAACAUAAUUUUCAUUUGACCAUGCUGAAUAAUUCUCUUAUAUACCAAUAAUUAAAGCCACCACUCUUUAGAUUGUCAUCUCUUUUUGAACAAAAUCAAUAUGUACUUCCUAUUUUUUCACCCACCAUGCAUAAGGAAAAGAACUAAAUAUACAAGUAAGUUAAAGAAAAAUGAAUAACCAUAUCCAUCUUGAAUUGUUAUGAUAAAUAAACUUAAGCUACCUAACCUUUUUGGAAGCCUUUAAGUUUACGUGAAGACCAAAACAUAAUGGCUUCACCCUCCUUUUUGAGUGCACAAAAUGUUUUGAAAUGUAUCUUCUAAGAGCACCACAAAUUCGGAAGGUAUACAACUUGAAAGUGCGUUACGUCGACUAGAGGGGGGGUGAAUAGGCGAUUUUUAAGAAUUCUUCACUGAGGAAUUUCAGGGUGAGGAAAUUUCUAAACGAAGAACUACUUGCAGCAGAAUAAGUACUCAGGUAUAAGCAUAACAGAGCAACAACAUAGUCAUCAUGAUGAAAUGAAAGACAAACACAGAGUACAGAAAGCGUAAGCACAGGAUAAGCAGGAAGAAGACAAACAGACUGAAGAGAUAGGAUUGAGGAAUUAGAGAAAGUCUUCAGUCAAAGUCUUCAAACAGUAAUGAUCAGGUACAUCAACACAUGACUGAGGAAAUGAGAGGGUUGAGGAAAUAGAACCAAUAGGCUUGGUGAAGACAAUGAUUUGGUAGACCAGUUCCAACUGUUGUGACAGUUGUACGUCUGGUUGGAGCAGCUGAGUAUUUAAACUCGAGGACACACAGUCCCGGACACACAGUCCUCGUUGUAUUCUCCUUGAGCUAAGAUCACACAGACCUCGCCCAACAGUAGUGGUAAGUCUUCAUAGGUGACUUACAAACCUUCACAGACUUGGUCACUCGGCAAUCCACAAUUCCUCUUGGAUGCUCAGACCAUGACGCCUAACCGUCUGGAGGAUACACAGUCCUCAAAGGUAACAAGCGUCGGUUCCACACAGGAACAAUCUCUUCAGUAAUGCUCAAUCACUUUGGGGUUUGUAGGUUUGAGUUUGGGAUUUGGGUUUUCCUCACUUGAUGAUUUUCGCUCAAAGUCCUCGGAGGAUGGGAUGCUCUCAAAUGACAAGUGUCAGUUUCUCUCGGAGCAGCCAACCAGCUAGUGGUUGUAGGGGACGACUAUUUAUAGCCUAGGAGCCGCCCGACAUGAUAAGACAUAAAUGCCCUUGUCUGAUAUGACCGUUAGGUGGUAGGAUAUUUUGGGACAGCUGGCGCGCGGCACAACAACGGUCGGAUUUGAGGUUCGAAUUCCUCAGGGCUAUCAUGUUCCUCACUGUGUAGGCAAUCCGCACUGGCGAAUUCCCAACUCCUCAGUCAGAACAAAUUCCUCAGAGACCAGAAGAUCUUCGUCUCUGUCGCUGAAGAACUUGACUGAACUGAUAUGAGAUUUCCAAUGGCUUCACUCGAAGGAUUGGGUAGGUGUAGGAUUUUGAGAUGAGCAUCACUUGGAAAUAUAUUUCCUUAGUAUUACCUCGACCCCCUUUAACAAUACGGUGUUUCCUAUGACUCUAGAAGAAGAAAAAUGAAACUACGAAAACAAAAGUCUUCACGCUUCAGAUUCCUCGCAUGAAUAUCGAAGUCUUCAAGGUCACACCAAUUUCUUCACUUUCCAAGUCUUCAGGAAAACCAAAGUCUUCAGCCGAAGACAUUCAUUUUUAGGGGUCAACUUUCACUGUAAAUAUCAAACUCCUCAUUGACUUAUAGAGCCUGUGUAUACUCACAAACAUAUUAGUCCCUUAACCUAUAAGUCUUCAAUACACCAAAAUCACUAAGGGGCACUAGAUGCACUUACAAUCUCCCCCUUUUUGGUGAUUGAUGACAAUAUAGGUUAAGUUUUCAAAGGGGAUAAACAUAUGAAUUGAAAGUACUAAAUAUUAAGGAAUUUGAUUGCAAGAUAUAGAAGAACUCCCCCUGAAGAUGUGCAUAGUGAGGAAUUUGCUUUUGAAGCAAUGCACGUUUGAAGAGUAGAAUCAUGGAGAACUCCCCCUAUAUCUUAUAAUUCAUACACGCAUUUAACAUAUAGUUAUGAAGAAUUUGAAAUGCAUGAUGAAAUAUGGUGACAGAUGUGAUUCAGCAUGCGUGCAUAAUAUUAAUGAGGAAAUAGCAUGCAGGAAAACAGAGCAAAAGUAUCAGGUCACCAUCGGACUUAAGUUUACAACUCAAUCAACAAAAGCUUCAGAAGAGCGAGAGUUGCAACUUAAUAAAAAACACCCAUAUAUAUAGACCCGUUUGAAGACUAACUAAAAUUUCUCCCCCUUUGUCAUAAAAUGACCAAAAGGGACGAAAAGUGAGAACUAAUGCCCCUGAAGAAUUUCUUCAUGAAGUCGAUGGAGGAGCGUCAGCGUUGUUGGGGUCGUUUGUUGGAGAAGGGCCUGUCACAGUGUCGUCCAGAUCUUCAUUUUCAUCAGUAUCACGGGAUGAGGAAUAUGAACUAGGUACCAGAGAAGGAACUGCAACUUUCUUGAAUUUCUUCGGGGGAGGCUUAGCCCAGCCGAAGUCCUGCUUGAAGCCCAUCUGCUUGAGAUCCUCGUCACCGUAAAGGUGAGACAAUAUAGCCUAGGUGCGAUCAAACACUUCAUUAAGGUAGUAAUGGUUCUUCUACACUGAAUUAUAUGUGGCAGUCAUGUUAUGAAGAAUUGAACCAAACUGAUGUUUUACCAUUUGUGAUUGCGAUCCAUCUUUUGAUGAAGACUGAGGAGAAGCUCACGAUCAGUCAUCACCCUUGGAGUUGUUGCCUGAGGACUUUGCUUGGAUGCAUUAGCGGCAGAAUCAUGAGUAGCAGAGUCAUCAUUGGUGGAGUAUGAAGCAGCUUUGCGAAACUAUCCAUCCAAUGGUCGAAUGCCCUCAUCAAUAACAACAGUGGCCUUACCCUUUUCAUCAGUUGAGGAAAAUGUCCGUUUGAGGACUUCAAUUGGCGGCAAGUAGCUGCCAUGGUUGAGUGUAUCAGCUUUGUAGUUGAGUGAAGACCUUGAUCCGAGGAAUUUCAUAAUCCAGGGAGCGUAAGGCUUCAACUCAAAUGGGGACAUUGCAAUGUUUGCCAAAGUCCUCAUGAAGAAAUCAUGAUAGUUCACGGGAAUACCGUGCAUGAUGUUGAAAAGCAGAUUCUUCAUGAUGCCAACGACUUCUUCAUCAUUCGAGUCAUGGCCUUUGAUUGGACUCAAUGUCUUCGUCAGAAUGCGAUAGACUGUUCUUGGCACAUAUUGCAAUUCCUUCACAAGGAAUUUGGUCCUUGAGGCUUGUCCAGGCUUCAAUGGCUUCAUCAGAACUUGCAUGAAAUGAUCUGACAGCUCAGUUUCAGAAUAGAUGAGACGUGCACCUUCCAGGGAAGGACUGACAGGCAUGGCACGAAGCAAUUCAGUGGCCGGUGCCUUAUAGUGUGUGUUCUCUGUCAUCCAGUCCAACACCCAUGAGUUCACAUCUUCAGCAUUGCAUGUGAUGUGCAGCGUCGCAUAGAAUUAAAGAAUGAGUUCUUCAUUCCAAUCGCAUAUGUCAGUGCAGAAAUUGAGCAAGCCAGCAUCAUGAAUGGCAGCGAGGACUGGCGCGAAGCAAGGCAGUGAUUCCAUAUCCACGUGAGGAAUAUGCUCAUGGUCGAAGACUUUUUCCUUGUUGAACAACACUGAAGAAUAGAAAUUUGCUUGACUAGCUGUCCAGAAGCGCUUCCUCCUCAAGCGAGCAGAAUCAUAGGGAUUGUAGUCCGUGAAGAAUACAUGCUCAUUGAAGAAUGCAUCAGCCUUGAACUUCGGAGUUUUGGAGAAUGGAUUCUUCGGCUGAGGCUGAGGAGUGUCAGUGAUCUGAAGAAUAACUUCUGGAAUGUCAAUUUCUGGAGCCGCAGGCUGAGGAAUAUCUUCUGCUUCAGUAGCAGCCCGGGCUUCCAUUUCUUCAGCAGCAUUUUCAUCAGCAUUAGUGGCUGGAAUCUCUUCAUGAAUGGAAGGGGUGACAUGAAUUUCAUUAGAGCCCAUCUGAACUUCUGUUGGUGCUGGGGACUGAGGAAUUUGUUGUACUGGUAUGAACAGAGGAGAGUUGGGGUGUUGACUAUCCCAAAAAUCAUCGUUCAUUACUGGAGUGGUGCAGCCAAUGUCCACAUCCUCAUCCACUUCCAUUUCUUCAACACCGGCCUCUUCAGCUGUGAACUGAGGUGUUGGCGAUGAUACCUGAGGAGUUGAAGUAAAAGUCUCAACUUCAAUUUUUUCAUCCAUCUGCUUUGUGGAAGCAGCAGAGGGAUCUUCUUCAGCAGAUUCUUCAGGAAUCUGAUAUUCUUCACCAUGAGGAACAAGUUCCUUUGAUGGCAUGCUUGCAAGAGGGACAACAUCAAUGGGAUUGUCCAUUGAACUUGUCAAAAUCUUCGCCUUCUUGGGGGCCGAAGAUUCUGAGGCAGCUGAUGCCUUCCUCUUCUUCAGAGCAGCUCACUCCGCAACUUUGGUUUUCUUCACUUCCAGAGCAGAAGGAAGAACUGGGCUUGGUGUUGGUGCAGACGGAGCAGUGGGAGUUGGAUCAAUUUUAUCAGGCCCAACUGAUGCAGUUGGCCUGUCAUAAGCAAUUUCUUCAGGCGCAACAACAGAGUCUUCAGCUGACCUGGCAGGUUCUUUAGGCGCAAUACUAGUGGUUGCCCUGGCAGUUUCUUCAGAGGCUGGAAUUUCUUCAGCAGCCCUGGUGCUUGCAGUUUCAUCAGCAGCCUGAUUUUAAUCAGCUAUGCUAGCAAUUCCUUCAGUGGCUUGAGCAGAUGCUUCAGCCUGAGCGAUUUCAAUGUGCACAGGAGUAGCACCACUUGAAGUGAAUUUCUUUGUCAGCUUGACGAAUCUGACUUUGGCACUCUGCCAUUUAGCCUUGUAGGCGUCAAAUUCAUUGCUGAGCUUUUUGAUGUCAGCUUGCAGUGCAAUGAGCUACUCAGGCGAAGGACUAAGGACAUUGUCCUUUAGAUAGCGCUGCUUGAUAACCCACAAGUGUAGGGGAUCGCAACAGCUUUCGAGGGUGAAGUACAACCCAAAUUUAUUUAUUCGACACAAGGGGAGCCAAAGAAUAUUCUUGAGUAUUAGCAGUUGAGUUGUCAAUUCAACCACACCUGGAUAACUUAGUAUCUGCAGCAAAGUAUUUAGUAGCAAGAGUGGUAUGAUAAUAAUGGUAACAGUAGCAACAAAAAAGGUAAAUGUUUUUGGGUUUUUGUAGUAGUUGUAAUAGUAGCAACGGAAAAGUAAAUAAUCGAAGAACAAUAUAUGAAAAGCUCGUAGGCAAUGGAUCAGUGAUGGAUAAUUAUGCCGGAUGUGAUUCCUCAUGCAAUAGUUAUAACAUAGGGUGAUAUAGAACUAGCUCCAAUUCAUCAAUGUAAUGUAGGCACGUAUUCUGUAAAUAGUCACACGUGCUUAUGGAAAAGAACUUGCAUGACAUCUUUUGUCCUACCCUCCCGUGGCAGCGGAGUCCUAGUGGAAACUAAGGGAUAUUAAGGCCUCCUUUUAAUAGAGAACUAGACCAAAGCAUUAACACAUAGUGAAUACAUGAACUCCUCAAACUACGGUCAUCACCGAGAAGUAUCCCGAUUAUUGUCACUUCGGGGUUGUCGGAUCAUAACACAUAAUAGGUGACUAUAGACUUGCAAGAUAGGAUCAAGAACACACAUAUAUUCAUGAAAACAUAAUAGGUUUAGAUCUGAAAUCAUGGCACUCGGGCCCUAGUGACAAGCAUUAAGCAUAGCAAAGUCAUAACAACAUCAAUCUCAGAACAUAGUGGAUACUAGGGAUCAAACCCUAACAAAUCUAACUUGAUUACAUGGUAAAUCUCAUCCAACCCAUCACCGUCUAGCAAGCCUAUGAUGGAAUUACUCACGCACGGCGGCGAGCAUCAUGAAAUUGGUGAUGGAGGAUGGUUGAUGAUGACGACGGCGACGAAUCCCCCUCUCCAGAGCCCCGAACGGACUCCAGAUCAGCCCUCUCGAGAGAGAUUAGGGCUUGGCGGCGGCUCCGUGUCGUGAAACGCGAUGAAACUUUCUCUCUGAUUUUUUUCUUCCCGAGACGGUAUAUAUGGAGUUGGAGUUGAGGUCGGAGGAGGUCCGAGGGGCCCAUGAGAUAGGAGGGCGUGCCCCUAGGGGGGGCGCCCCCCUGUCUCGUGGACAGCCCGUGGGCCCCCUGGCCUUGAUUCUUUCGCCAAAAAUUCUUAUUUAUUCUGAAAAGUGCCUCCGUGGAUUUCCAGGACAUUUCGAGAACUUUUCUUUUCUACACAUAAAACAACAUCAUGGUAGUUCUGUUGAAAACAGCGUGAGUCCGGGUUAGUUUCAUUGAAAUCAUGCAAGUUAGAGUCCAAAACAAGGGCAAAAGUGUUUGGAAAAGUAGAUACGUUGGAGACGUAUCAACUCCUCCAAUCUUAAAUUUUUGCUUGUCCUCAAGCAAUUCAGUUGACAAACUGAAAGUGAUAAAGAAAAACUUUUACAAACUCUGUUUGCUCUUGUUGUUGUAAACAUGAAAAGCCAGCAUUGAAGUUUCAGCAAAUAUUAUGAACUAACCAUACUCACAAUAACACAUAGGUCCCACAAUUACUCAUAUCAAUAGCAUAAUCAGCUAGUGGGUCAUAAUAAUAAAACUCGGAUGACAACACUUCCUCAAAAUAAUCAUAACAUGAUAUAACAAAAUGGUAUCUCGCUAGCCCUUUCUGAGACCGCAAAACAUAAAUGCAAAGCACCUUUAAAGAUCAAGGACCGACUAAACAUUGUAAUUCAUGGUAAAAGAGAUCCAGUCAAGUCAUACCUAAUAUAAACCAGUAAUAAUGAAUGCAAAUGACAGUGUGCUCUCCAGCGAGUGCUUUUUAAUAAUAAGGAUAAUGACUCAACAUAAAAGUAAAUAGAUAGGCCUUUCGCAGAGGGAAGCAGGGAUUUGUAGAGGUGCCAGAGCUCGAUUUUAAAAUAAAGAUUGAAUAACAUUUUGAGCGGCAUACUUUCGCUGUCAACGCAACAACUAUGAGAUGGUUGUAUCUUCCAUACUACAUGCAUAUAGGCAGUUCCCAAACAUAAUGGUAAAGGUUUAUACCCCCCAACCACCAACAAGCAUCAAUCCAUGGCUUGCUCGAAACAACGAGUGCCUCCAACAUACAACAGCCCUGGGGGAGUUUUGUUUAAUUAUUUUGAUUUGCUUUAAUCUUUUUGGAUCAUGGGACUGGGCAUCCCGGUUACCGGCCCUUUAUCGUGAAUGAGGAGCGGAGUCCACUCCUCUGAGAAUAACCCACCUAGCAUGGAAGAUAUAGGCAGCCCUAGUUGAAACAUGAGCUACUCGAGCAUACAAAACAGAAUUUCAUUUGAAGGUUUGGAGUUUGGCACAUACAAAUUUACUUGGAACGGCAAGUAGAUACCGCAUAUAGGAAGGUAUAGUGGACUUAUAUGGAACAACUUUGGGGUUUAAGGAGUUUGGAUGCACAAGCAGUAUUCCCGCUUAGUACAGGUGAAGGCUAGCAAAAGACUGGGAAGCGACCAACUGAGAGAGCGACAACAGUCGUAAGCAUGCAUUAAAAUUAAUUCACACCGGAUACAAGCAUGAGUAGGAUAUAAUCCACCAUGAACAUAAAUAUCAUGAAGGCUAUGUUGAUUUGAUUCAACUACAUGCGUGAACAUGUGCCAAGUCGAGUCACUCAAUUCAUUCAAAGGAGGAUACCAUCCCAUCAUAUCACAUCAUAAUCAUUCUAAUAGCAUGUUGGCAUGCAAGGUAAACCAUUAUAACUCAUAGCUAAUCAAGCAUGGCCCAAGCGACUAUAAUCUCUAAGUGUCAUUGCAAAUAUUUUUAUUUCAUAAUAGCUGACUCAGGAACGAUGAAUCAUCAUAUUUACAAAAACAAGAGAGGUCGAGUUCAUACUAGCUUUUCUCAUCCCAAUAAGUCCGUCAUAUAUCGUCAUUAUUGCCUUUCACUCGCACGACCGAACGAAGUGUAUAAUAAUAGGAGUGCACGUGCAUUAGACUAAGCUAGAAUCUGCAAGCAUUCAACUCAAGAGGGAAGACAAGUAAUAUGGGCUCUAAAUAUAAAUAAUCAACCAUGCAUAUGAGAGCCACAAAACAUUUUCAAUAUGGUCUUCUCGACCCCCAGAAGAAAGAAAAUAAAAUAAAACUAUUUACACGGGAAAGCUCCCAACAAGUAAAAGAAGAACGAGAAAUCUUUUUGGGUUUUCAUUUUAAUUUCUACUACAAGCAAGGAAAUUAAACUAACUAAUUUUUUUUGUUUUUUCUUAAGGUUUGUCAAACACACAAGAAGAAAACUAGAAAAAUAGAUUUAAACUAACAUGGAUAAUACAAUGAAAGAGUAUGAGCACCGACGACUAGUGUGUGAACAUGAAUGUAAAGUCGGUGAGAAAUAUGUACUCCCCCAAGCUUAGGCUUUUGGCCUAAGUUGGUUUAAUACCAAGGACUGCCUGGCUGAUAUCCAUAAGUGAAACUGGGAUUGUAAUGAGAUGCAGAGGCAACGGCCUCCUGGGCAGCAGCAUGUUGGCGAGCUGCCUCCAUUCCCCUCUCAUAUUCAGUGGCUUCUUCCCUGGUGAUAACAUAUCCUCCUCUUGCCUGAUAAUCAAAAAGGUAGGGAGCAGGAAGAGUGACAGGGACGACGUUGCGUCUAUCAUUGAUUAGUCGAUAAUGGAGGAAUUGUUCAUUCCUCUCAAGAAAUUUAUGAUCAAACAUAGCUUCUUUAUCUAAAUAAACAGGAGGUACAAUCAUAUCCCCCUCUCGUGGAGCUAUAUUAAGAAAAUUUGCCACACGGGUUGCAUAAAUUCCUCCAAAGAAAUUUUCCUUUUUACUAUUAUUAUGCAACCUACGUGCAACAAUUGCCCCCAAGUUAUAACCUCUGUAACCAGACACAACACUCUUGUGGACACAAAGGUCAGGAGCACACAAGUGACUUACUUCGUCCUUACCGUUAAUGCAUUUAACAAUAAAGAGAGCAAAGUAAUGUAUAGCAGGAAAAUGAAUGCUCCCUAUGGUAGCUUGUGCUACGUCCCUAGAUUCUCCCACAGUAAUACUAGCAAGAAAAUCUCUAAAUUCAGAUUUGCGAGGAUCAUUGAUAUUACCCCACUGAGGGAGUUUGCAAGUGAUACGUCUCCGUCGUAUCUACUUUUCCAAACACUUUUGCCCUUGUUUUGGACUCUAACUUGUAUGAUUUGAAUGGAACUAACCCGGACUGACGCUGUUUUCAGUAGAACUGCCAUGGUGUUGUUUUUGUGCAGGAAAUAAAGAUUCUCGGAACGACCUGAAACUCCACGGAAUAUCUUAGAAUAAAUAAUUAAAAAUCCUCGCAAAAGAUGAAGACCAGGGGGCCCACACCCUGUCCACGAGGGUGGGGGGCGCGCCCCCCCUGGGCGCGCCCCCCUACCUCGUGGGCCCCCUGGUGGCCCUCCGACGCCAACUCCAACUCUAUAUACUGGCUUUCGGGGAGAAAAAAAUCAAGGAGAAGAAAUCAUCGCGUUUUACGAUACGGAGCCGCCGCCAAAGCCCUAAUCUCUCUCGGGAGGGCUGAUCUGGAGUCCGUUCGGGGCUCCGGAGAGGGGAAUUCGUCGCCGUCGUCAUCCUCAACCAUCCUCCAUCACCAAUUUCAGGAUGCUCACUGCCGUGCGUGAGUAAUUCCAUCGUAGGCUUGUUGGACGGUGAUGGGUUGGAUGAGAUUUAUCAUGUAAUCGAGUUAGUUUUGUUAGGGUUUGAUCCCUAGUAUCCACUAUGUUCUGAGAUUGAUGUUGCUAUGACUUUGCUAUGCUUAAUGCUUGUCACUAGGGCCCGAGUGCCAUGAUUUCAGAUCUGAACCUAUUAUGUUUUCAUGAAUAUAUGUGAGUUCUUGAUCCUAUCUUGCAAGUCUAUAGUCACCUACUAUGUGUUAUGAUCCGGCAACCCCGAAGUGACAAUAAUCGGAACCACUCCCGGUGAUGACCAUAGUUUGAGGAGUUCAUGUAUUCACUAUGUGCUAAUGCUUUGUUCCGGUUCUCUAUUAAAAGGAGGCCUUAAUAUCCCUUAGUUUCCAAUAGGACCCCGCUGCCACGGGAGGGUAGGACAAAAGAUGUCAUGGAAGUUCUUUUCCAUAAGCACAUAUGACUAUAUUCGGAAUACAUGCCUACAUUACAUUGAUGAACUGGAGCUAGUUCUGUAUCACCCUAUGUUAUGACUGUUACAUGAUGAACCACAUCCGGCAUAAUUAUCCAUCAUUGAUCCGGUGCCUACGAGUUUUCCAUAUACUGGUUUACGCUCAUUUACUUUUCCGUUGCUACUGUUACAAUCACUAAAAAAUACCAAAAACAUUACUUUUGUUGUCUUUACUUUUUUACCAUUACCACCACUACCAUAUUACUUUGCUACUAAAAACCUUUCUGCAGAUACUAAGUUUCCAGGUGUGGUUGAAUUGACAACUCAGCUGCUAAUACUUGAGAAUAUUCUUUGGCUCCCCUUGUGUCGAAUCAACAAAUUUGGGUUGAAUACUCUACCCUCGAAAACUGUUGCGAUCCCCUAUACUUGUGGGUUAUCAAGACCUUUUUCUGGCGCCGUUGCCGGGGAGCAUAGCUCUAUUCUUUGAGUCACUUGGGAUUUAUAUCUGCUGGACACUAUGAAGAACUUGAAAGACGCUAAGACCACGAUUUUACCCUCAACUACGAGGGGAGGUAAGGAACUGCCAUCUAGCUCUGCACUAGAUUCUCCUUCUGUUAUAAGUAAGCUUGCGACACCUAAACCUGCUACUGCUAUGAAUUCUGAUAUGUCGCAUGUUAUUGAUGAUGCCACUUCUGCUAUGCAUGAUACUUAUGAUGAAACUACUUCCAUGCUUGAUACUACUGUGCCACUUGGUGAAUAUCUUGAUGAGCAAAUUGCUAGGUCUAGAGAAAGAGAAAUUAUUGAACCUGAACACGAUGAUGUUAGUGACGAUGAACCUAUUCCUGCUAUUCCUGAGGGUUGUCUUUUUUAUGCUGAAUCUUCUGCCACUAUUUUUGCUUGCCAGGAUAGAUAUGAACUUAAGAGGUUGCUAAUUAAAUGGAGUAAAGAAUCUCUUAGAGAUAGAAUGAGACCCAACCCUGCUUUUGCUACUUCACCUAUUUGUGUUCCCGAUAAGGAUUAUUAUGAUUUUUCUGUUGAUCCAAAUAUAAUUACUUUGGUUGAAUCCGAUCCUUUCUAUGGUCAUGAAUCUGAAACUGUUGUGGCACAUCUUACUAAUAAUGAGAGAUCGCGCUACCUUUAUUUACUUAAGAUAUUUCCGUUCUCAUUAAAGGGUGAUGCUAAGAUAUGGUUUAAUUCUCUUGAUCCUGGUUGUGUGCAAAGUCCCCAGGAUAUGAUUUAUUACUUCUCUGCUAAAUAUUUCCCUACUCAUAAGAAACAAGCUGCUUUGAGGGAAAUAUACAAUUUUGUGCAAGUUGAAGAAGAGAGUCUCCCACAAGCUUGGGGGAGGCUUCUCAAGUUACUUAAUGCUUUGCCUGAUCAUCCUCUUAAGAAACCUAAAAUAUUUGAUAUCUUUUAUAAUGGACUAACUGAUGCUUCCAGAGAUUACCUGGAUAGUUGCGUUGGUUCUCUUUUCAGGGAAAGAACACCGGAUGACGUUGAAAUUCUAUUGAAUAAUAUGUUGGCUAAUGAAAAUAAUUGGGCACCUCCCGAGUCAGCUCCUGAGCCAACUCCUGAGCCAAUUAUUGAGCCUAUUCCUAAAUCAACCCCGAAGAAGAGAGGUGUUUUAUUUCUCAGUCCUGAAGAUAUGCAAGAGGCAAAGAAAUCUAUGAAAGAAAAAGGUAUUAAAACUGAAGAUGUUAAGAAUUUACCUUCUAUUGAAGAAAUACAUGGUCUUAAUUUACCGCCUGUUGAAGAAGUAUAUGAUCUCAAUUACUUAUUUAAUGAAGAACCUCCCGACAUCCCGACACAGGUAGUAAAGGUAAAUUCUCUCUAUCGAUAUGAUAAAGCUAAAGUCCCUCCUACUAAAAUUGCUAGUCAGUGCUUGGAUGAGUUUGAUAACUUUAUGUUUAAGCAAGAUGACUUUAAUGCUUAUUUUGGUAGACAAUUAAAACAAGAUGCUUAUAUGAUUAAACGCUUGGGUGAUUAUAUGGCUGAUAUUAGAGGUGAACUUAAACUUGUUAGCAAACAUGCUUCUAUGGUUACCACUCAAGUAGAACAAGUACUUAAAGCUCAAAAAGAGGCGCUUGAUGAAAUGAAUAGUAAGAAAAAUGAUUAUGCUGUUAGAGUGGCUACUAGAACCGGUAGAAUGACUCAGGGACCUUUGUAUCCUGAAGGCCACCCUAAGAGAAUCGAGUAAGAUUCUCAGAGAAAUGAUAUUGAUGUACCUAGUUCUUCAAGAAAGAAGAAAAAGAAAAAUGAUAGGACUUUGCAAACUUCUAGCGAACCUAAUGCUGAGCCACCUGAAAAUCCAAAUGAUAUUUCUAUUUCUGAUGCUGAAACACAAUCAGGUGACGAACAUGAACCUAGUGAUAAUGUUAAUGAUAAUGUUCAUGAUGAUGCUCAACCUAGUAAUGAUAAUGAUGUAGAAGCUGAACCUGCUGUUGAUCUUGAUAACCCAUAAUCAAGGAGUCAACGCUAUGAUAAAAGAGACUUCGUUGCUAGGAAACAUGGUAAAGAAAGGGAACCAUGGGUUCAGAAACCCAUGCCUUUUCCUCUGAAACCAUCCAAGGAAAAGGAUGAUGAGGACUUUGAGCGCUUUGCUGAAAUGAUUAGACCCAUCUUUUUGCGUAUGCGAUUAAUUGAUGUGCUCAAAACAAAUCCUUAUUCUAAGUAUAUGAAGGAUAUUAUUACUAAUAAAAGAAAGAUACCUGAAGCUGAAAUUUCCACCAUGCUUGCUAAUUAUACUUUUAAGGGUGGAGUACCAAAGAAACUUGGAGAUCUCGGAGUACCUACUAUACCAUGCUCCAUUAAGAGAAAUUAUGUUAAAACUGCUUUAUGUGAUCUUGGAGCCGGUGUUAGUGUCAUGCCUCUCUCUUUAUAUCGUAGACUUGACUUGAAUAAGUUGACACCUACUGAAAUAUCUUUGCAAAUGGAUGAUAAAUCAACUGCUAUACCUGUCGAUAUUUGUGAGGAUGUGCCUGUUGUGGUUGCAAACGUUACUAUUUUAACGGACUUUGUUAUUCUUGAUAUUCCUGUGGAUGAUAGUAUGUCUAUUAUUCUUGGAAGACCUUUCCUUAAUACUGUAGGGGCUGUUAUUGAUUGCAACAAAGGCAAUGUCACUUUUCAUGUUAAUGGCAAUGAGCACACGGUACAUUUUCCGAGGAAACAACCUCAAGUUUAUGGUAUCAACUCUAUUGAAAAAGUUCCAUCGAUUAUGUUUGGAGGUUUUGAAUUUCCUCUCCCUACUGUCAAGAAAAAGUAUGAUAUACUCAUUGUUGGGGAUUUUCAUAUCCCCGUUGAGGUAACUUAGUGCUAUUAUUUCUUCGGUUCCAUGUUAAUCGGAAUGAGCUCGUUAAUAAGACUUGAUCAACCUUGUUAGUGGAUUCAUUUUGAUGAUCACGAGAAGGAUGAAACUAGAAGCACAACCUUCUGUACCCUCUUUAUAUUUUCUGUUAUUUAGUAGAAAUAAAGUAAAAUAGUAUGUUUAUGUCUGUCUCCUGACUUAUCCGCUCAAUAUAAAAAUAUCCCGAAAAUAAAAGUCCUCGGAAUGCCAUGACAAUUUAAUAUGAUUUUUUCAGGAAUAUUUAAGAAUUUACUGCGCAAAAAUCACUGCGGAGGGAGCUUCCACCUGGCCACGAGGGUGGAGGGCGCGCCCUACCCCCCUGGGCGCGCCCCCUGCCUCGUGGGCCCAUGGUGGCCCUCCUCCACUUAUUCCUGCACCCAUCUUCUUCCUCUGUCUCACACAAACACGAAAAACCAACUCAAGCACGAGUUCCAGCCCCCGUUGUUGUGAUUUUCGAUCUCCUUGCUCAAAGCACCUCUCGCAAAACUGCUUGGGGAGAUUGUUCCUUGGUAUGUGACUCCUCCAUUGGUCCAAUUAGUUUUUGUUCUAGUGUUUUAUUCAUUGCAAAUUUGUGCUGCAUAGGUGACCAUGUUCUUGAGCUUGCAUGUCAAAUUUAUAUGGUUCCAAGUAGUUCCAAUGCUUUAUAUAGGCUCUAGGCACUUGUAGGAGUUGUUGCUAUCAAUUUUAUUGAAGUUGGUUCACUUUUAUUUGAAGUUACUAAAAAUUUCAGAUUGUUUCAGAAAUAAUGAAGAUACUUUUGAGGGGCUCGCCGAGCCGAAACUCUAAGGAAAAACAAAAGGAAGAAGAGGAGAAAGCCCAAAUUUAAUUUACCUCGCACCGCGGAGGUCCGGCCUUGUGAAUGGCCUUCCGAUUACUUCUUGAGGAGAGCUGGGAUUUAUGAAGAUUUCUAUUUAUUGAUUGAGAAUGCUGGCCUCACCAACUUCCUCCACGACCAACGUCAUCAGUAUCUCUUACUCACAAAUACUUUUGUGCAAAACUUCUACUUUUUCCCUAAGAAAUCACCUCCAACAGUAGAGUUUCAUUUAUAUGACGUUGUUAAAAAGAUGACAUUAGCAGAAUUCUGCGAGGUUUGCAGAAUACCCUUUGAGGGCACCUUAGAUGAACCCCACCGUAACGAAGUAGAAGCUUUUGUUAACACUAUCACGGUGGGAGAAACCAGGAAGGUUUCUGAUGCAAGGAUCACUAGCAUACAUUAUCCUGUUUUACGCUACUUCCUUAUUUGCUAGUCGUUCCUUGAUUGGACGCGAGAACUGUGGGAACCUUAGUAUUCCUGAUAUUAUUAUUUUGCUCCAUGGUUUAUACUGCAAUAACUCUGUCAGUAUGGGUGGAAUUGUUGCUAGACGAUUAAGCCUGAACCGUACCAAGGGCCCCAUCUUUGGAGGCAUUUAUGCUUCACGCCUAGCUAAACAUUUUGAAAUACCUAUUAGGCAUGAGGAGAAAGAGGAAACAUCGCUGCCUCGUGCUUAUUUAGAUUAUAGGAGUAUGAUAGCGCAUGAUUUUCUUGUUAAGAGUCGCGAUGGGGAGCUCAAAUAUAAAUUAUACUUUGAUAAACAUCACCCUGAGACUAUUACCUUGCCUGCUCCUUCUUUAUUUAACUUGUUUGCAGAACCUCACAUCAUUUUGUGGUCGGCUGUUCAGGCCUAUCGGAACCCUGCACCAUCCCCGGAACCGGAGCCACAAGAUGAACCUCCACAACUAUCUGUUUAUUCUUGGGAUCCAGAGGAGGUUGCCAGCCAGUGGCAGCCGGAGUCUUCUGCAUCACAGUAUGACCCCAGUUUCACCUACGGGUAUCCGCCAGGCCAUCCCUAGCAAUAGACCAACUUAGGUCAAAAGCCUAAGCUUGUGGGAGUACAUAUUUCCCACCGACAUUACAUUCAUGUUCACACACACUCAUUGCUAGAUGUCGGUGUUCAUAUUCUUUCACUGUAAUAUCCAUACUAGAUUAUUUUCUUUUUCCUGCUUUCUUUUUGUGUGUUUAAUAAACCUUAAGAAAAACAAAAAAAA